Molecule: ribosomal RNA, 458 nt
Filed under: uncultured bacterium
Lineage: Bacteria
Description: bacterial SSU rRNA
Rfam family: Bacterial small subunit ribosomal RNA
Source: RNAcentral
CACAUGUGACGAGUUGAUCAUGGCUCAGAGACGCUGGCGGCAUGCCUAACACAUGCAAGUCGAACGAAGCCUUCGGGCUUAGUGGCGCACGGGUGCGUAACGCGUGGGAACCUACCAUCAGGUUCGGAAUAACAGUUAGAAAUGACUGCUAAUACCGGAUAAUGUCUUCGGACCAAAGAUUUAUCGCCUUUUGAUGGGCCCGCGUUGGAUUAGCUAAUUGGUGGGGUAAAGGCCUACCAAGGCGACGAUCCAUAGCUGGUCUGAGAGGAUGAUCAGCCACACUGGGACUGAGACACGGCCCAGACUCCUACGGGAGGCAGCAGUGGGGAAUAUUGGACAAUGGGCGAAAGCCUGAUCCAGCAAUGCCGCGUGAGUGAUGAAGGCCUUAGGGUUGUAAAGCUCUUUUACCAGGGAUGAUAAUGACAGUACCUGGAGAAUAAGCUCCGGCUAACUCCGUG